CGGACGGGUGAGUAAUACAUAGGAAUCUACCCAGUAGUGGGGGAUAACUUGGAGAAAUCCAUGCUAAUACCGCAUAUGCCCUACGGGGCAAAGCAGGGGACCCUCGGGCCUUGCGCUAUUGGAUGAGCCUAUGUCGGAUUAGCUAGUUGGUGGGGUAAAGGCCUACCAAGGCGACGAUCCGUAGCUGGUUUGAGAGGAUGAUCAGCCACACUGGGACUGAGACACGGCCCAG
RNAcentral lists this ribosomal RNA (232 nucleotides) under uncultured bacterium. RNAcentral's name for it is "partial 16S ribosomal RNA". It matches the Rfam family "Bacterial small subunit ribosomal RNA", at positions 99 to 334 of the family's 1533-position model. The record is from RNAcentral.